Molecule: ribosomal RNA, 460 nt
Filed under: uncultured bacterium
Lineage: Bacteria
Description: partial 16S ribosomal RNA
Rfam family: Bacterial small subunit ribosomal RNA
Source: RNAcentral
CCUACGGGAGGCAGCAGUGAGGAAUAUUGGUCAAUGGACGAGAGUCUGAACCAGCCAAGUAGCGUGAAGGAUGACUGCCCUAUGGGUUGUAAACUUCUGUUAUAAAGGAAUAAAACGAGGCACGUGUGCCUUUUUGCAUGUACUUUAUGAAUAAGGAUCGGCUAACUCCGUGCCAGCAGCCGCGGUAAUACGGAGGAUCCGAGCGUUAUCCGGAUUUAUUGGGUUUAAAGGGAGCGUAGAUGGGUUGUUAAGUCAGUUGUGAAAGUUUGCGGCUCAACCGUAAAAUUGCAAUUGAUACUGGCAGUCUAGAGUACAGUUGAGGUAGGCGGAAUUCGUGGUGUAGCGGUGAAAUGCUUAGAUAUCACGAAGAACCCCGAUUGCGAAGGCAGCUUACUAAACUGUGACUGACAUUGAUGCUCGAAAGUGUGGGUAUCAAACAGGAUUAGAUACCCCUGUAGUC